This 442-nucleotide ribosomal RNA is filed under the name uncultured bacterium. RNAcentral describes it as "partial 16S ribosomal RNA". It matches the Rfam family "Bacterial small subunit ribosomal RNA", at positions 338 to 795 of the family's 1533-position model. The record is from RNAcentral.
CCUACGGGUGGCAGCAGUAGGGAAUCUUCCACAAUGGGCGAAAGCCUGAUGGAGCAACGCCGCGUGAAGGAAGAAGGCUUUCGGGUUGUAAACUUCUUUUAAGAGGGAAGAGCAGAAGACGGUACCUCUUGAAUAAGCCACGGCUAACUACGUGCCAGUAGCCGCGGUAAUACGUAGGUGGCAAGCGUUGUCCGGAUUUACUGGGUGUAAAGGGCGUGCAGCCGGGAAGACAAGUCAGAUGUGAAAUCCCGCGGCUCAACCGCGGAACUGCAUUUGAAACUGUUUUUCUUGAGUACCGGAGAGGUCAUCGGAAUUCGUUGUGUAGCGGUGAAAUGCGUAGAUAUAAGGAAGAACACCAGUGGCGAAGGCAGAUGACUGGACGGCAACUGACGGUGAGGCGCGAAAGCGUGGGGAGCAAACAGGAUUAGAUACCCGAGUAGUC